Molecule: ribosomal RNA, 485 nt
Filed under: uncultured Fluviicola sp.
Lineage: Bacteria; Pseudomonadati; Bacteroidota; Flavobacteriia; Flavobacteriales; Crocinitomicaceae
Description: bacterial SSU rRNA
Rfam family: Bacterial small subunit ribosomal RNA
Source: RNAcentral
GAUGAACGCUAGCGGCAGGCUUAACACAUGCAAGUCGAGGGGUAACAUAGAAGAGCUUGCUUUUCUGAUGACGACCGGCGCACGGGUGCGUAACGCGUAUGGAACCUACCUCUUACUGGGGGAUAGCCCGAAGAAAUUCGGAUUAAUACCCCAUAGUAUUAUUUAAUCGCAUGAUUUGAAUAAUUAAAGGUUACGGUAAGAGAUGGCCAUGCGUCCCAUUAGCUAGAUGGUAAGGUAACGGCUUACCAUGGCAACGAUGGGUAGGGGGCCUGAGAGGGUGAUCCCCCACACUGGUACUGAGACACGGACCAGACUCCUACGGGAGGCAGCAGUGAGGAAUAUUGGGCAAUGGAGGCAACUCUGACCCAGCCAUGCCGCGUGAAGGAAGAAGGUUCUAUGGAUCGUAAACUUCUUUUAUUUGGGAAUAAACCUUUCUACGUGUAGAAAGCUGAAGGUACCAAACGAAUAAGCACCGGCUAACUCCG